Molecule: transfer RNA, 74 nt
Filed under: Aetobatus narinari (spotted eagle ray)
Lineage: Eukaryota; Metazoa; Chordata; Chondrichthyes; Myliobatiformes; Myliobatidae
Description: tRNA-Thr
Rfam family: tRNA
About the family: Transfer RNA (tRNA) molecules are approximately 80 nucleotides in length. Their secondary structure includes four short double-helical elements and three loops (D, anti-codon, and T loops).
Source: RNAcentral
GUUUUAGUAGCCUAACUACACAAGGCAUCGGUCUUGUAAACCGAAGACUGGGAGUGAAAUUCCCCCCUAAAACA